AAUUCGACCAUAUUGAACUAGAGAAAUACAUAGAGGAUCACAUCAAGUCCAGCACAUUCGUUGUUCGAGUUCAGAAAUACGACAACCCUCCAAAACACGAGACGCAAACAGGAUUAGUAGCUCACACAGACAAGAACAUUCUCACCAUAGUGCAACAACUCAAUCACAUCACAUCACAUCGUAGGAUUGGAGAUUCUCUCACCAAAGAUGGCCAAAAAUGGUUCACUGCACACCCAACAUCGCCUUAUUCUUUCUUUGUCUUUGUUGGAAUCUCUUUCCACGCAUGGACACUGUCCCAUUCAUAGAGUGAUGAUGAGGGGAGACGAAGCUCGAUACUCGAUCGCGUUAUUUUCGACUAUGAAAGAGGGGAGCAUAGUGAAGGCCCCUGAGGAACUGGUGGAUGAAGAUCACCCCUUACUCUACAAGCCUUAUGAUUAUCACAAGUUUAUGGAGUUUUACUUAUCAUACGACGCCGCUCUCACUUCUCCAAAUCCUCUCAACGAUUAUUGUGGGGUCUAAUUCAUUUCAUCACCUCAAUUUUCCAUAAUUAAACAAAAAUUAUACUAUAUGGUGUGUAUUGGUUUUUAUCAAGAGUUGGAUGCAAGUUAUAUUGUGUGAAAAUUUGUGCAAGCCCCUAGCUCCAUGUAAUUGCUAUUGGUAAUAAAUUAAUAAUACUAUAACUUCAACUA
Salvia splendens (bonfire salvia) is the source of this 689-nucleotide long non-coding RNA. RefSeq lists it as uncharacterized. Lineage: Eukaryota; Viridiplantae; Streptophyta; Magnoliopsida; Lamiales; Lamiaceae. The transcript has 2 exons. The record is from RefSeq and is a predicted model, not a curated record.